RNAcentral lists this long non-coding RNA (291 nucleotides) under Brassica rapa (field mustard). Its description in RNAcentral is "long non-coding RNA (BRAP_LNC007440)". The record is from RNAcentral. Lineage: Eukaryota; Viridiplantae; Streptophyta; Magnoliopsida; Brassicales; Brassicaceae.
UCCGUUGGUUCGAUUGGUUGACUCCGAGGGGGCGAUUAACUCGCUUGAGCUGAUCCGUCCCUCGGGUCGGACUCAAGGGAAGAUUCGCUUGAAGCUCGAGAUCAAGGAGCGGCCGAUCCCACCUCAAAAUUACUAUUCUGCCCCUAAUGGUUUACCGCCGAUCCAACCUCAAAAUUACUAUUCUGCCCCUGAAGGGAACCCUUAUUAUUCCCCACCUCCAGCUCCGAUCACCUCGCCGUCUCCUCAGCGCGAUUACAGAGACUUCUCACCUUAUCCAUUCACUGAUCACUA